CCUACGGGCGGCAGCAGUGAGGAAUAUUGGUCAAUGGCCGAGAGGCUGAACCAGCCAAGUCGCGUGAGGGAAGAAUGUCCUAUGGAUUGUAAACCUCUUUUGUCAGGGAGCAAAGUCACCCACGCGUGGGGGUUGGAGAGUACCUGAAGAAAAAGCAUCGGCUAACUCCGUGCCAGCAGCCGCGGUAAUACGGAGGAUGCGAGCGUUAUCCGGAUUUAUUGGGUUUAAAGGGUGCGUAGGCGGGAUAUCAAGUCAGCGGUAAAAUCGUGGAGCUCAACCUCAUCCAGCCGUUGAAACUGAUGUUCUUGAGUGGGCGAGAAGUAUGCGGAAUGCGUGGUGUAGCGGUGAAAUGCAUAGAUAUCACGCAGAACUCCGAUUGCGAAGGCAGCAUACCGGCGCCCGACUGACGCUGAAGCACGAAAGCGUGGGUAUCGAACAGGAUUAGAUACCCGUGUAGUC
This 459-nucleotide ribosomal RNA is filed under the name uncultured bacterium. RNAcentral's name for it is "partial 16S ribosomal RNA". It matches the Rfam family "Bacterial small subunit ribosomal RNA", at positions 338 to 795 of the family's 1533-position model. The record is from RNAcentral.